UACGUAGGGUGCAAGCGUUGUCCGGAAUCAUUGGGCGUAAAGCGCGUGUAGGCGGUCCGGUAAGUCUGCUGUGAAAGUCCAGGGCUCAACCCUGGAAAGCCGGUGGAUACUGUCGGGCUAGAGUCCGGAAGGGGAGAGUGGAAUUCCUGGUGUAGCGGUGAAAUGCGCAGAUAUCAGGAGGAACACCAAUGGCGAAGGCAGCUCGCUGGGACGGUACUGACGCUGAGACGCGAAAGCGUGGGGAGCAAACAGG
This 253-nucleotide ribosomal RNA is filed under the name uncultured bacterium. RNAcentral describes it as "partial 16S ribosomal RNA". It matches the Rfam family "Bacterial small subunit ribosomal RNA", at positions 524 to 776 of the family's 1533-position model. The record is from RNAcentral.